RNAcentral lists this ribosomal RNA (497 nucleotides) under uncultured bacterium. RNAcentral's name for it is "partial 16S ribosomal RNA". It matches the Rfam family "Bacterial small subunit ribosomal RNA", at positions 28 to 507 of the family's 1533-position model. The record is from RNAcentral.
GAUGAACGCUGGCGGCGUGCCUAAUACAUGCAAGUCGAGCGAACAGAUGAGGAGCUUGCUCCUCUGACGUUAGCGGCGGACGGGUGAGUAACACGUGGAUAACCUACCUAUAAGACUGGGAUAACUUCGGGAAACCGGAGCUAAUACCGGAUAAUAUAUUGAACCGCAUGGUUCAAUAGUGAAAGACGGUUUUGCUGUCACUUAUAGAUGGAUCCGCGCCGCAUUAGCUAGUUGGUAAGGUAACGGCUUACCAAGGCAACGAUGCGUAGCCGACCUGAGAGGGUGAUCGGCCACACUGGAACUGAGACACGGUCCAGACGCCUACGGGAGGCAGCAGUAGGGAAUCUUACGCAAUGGGCGAAAGCCUGACGGAGCAACGCCGCGUGAGUGAUGAAGGUCUUCGGAUCGUAAAACUCUGUUAUUAGGGAAGAACAAAUGUGUAAGUAACUAUGCACGUCUUGACGGUACCUAAUCAGAAAGCCACGGCUAACUACGUG